This 253-nucleotide ribosomal RNA is filed under the name uncultured bacterium. RNAcentral describes it as "partial 16S ribosomal RNA". It matches the Rfam family "Bacterial small subunit ribosomal RNA", at positions 524 to 776 of the family's 1533-position model. The record is from RNAcentral.
UACGGAGGGGGCUAGCGUUGUUCGGAAUUACUGGGCGUAAAGCGCACGUAGGCGGCUAUUCAAGUCAGAGGUGAAAGCCCGGGGCUCAACCCCGGAACUGCCUUUGAAACUAGAUGGCUAGAAUCUUGGAGAGGCGAGUGGAAUUCCGAGUGUAGAGGUGAAAUUCGUAGAUAUUCGGAAGAACACCAGUGGCGAAGGCGGCUCACUGGCCCGGUACUGACGCUGAGGUGCGAAAGCGUGGGGAGCAAACAGG